CCUACGGGUGGCAGCAGUGGGGAAUAUUGGACAAUGGGGGCAACCCUGAUCCAGCCAUGCCGCGUGUGUGAAGAAGGCCCUCGGGUUGUAAAGCACUUUCAGUGAGGAAGAACGCCUGGUGGUUAAUACCCAUCAGGAAAGACAUCACUCACAGAAGAAGCACCGGCUAACUCCGUGCCAGCAGCCGCGGUAAUACGGAGGGUGCGAGCGUUAAUCGGAAUUACUGGGCGUAAAGGGCGCGUAGGUGGAUUGAUAAGCCGGUUGUGAAAGCCCCGGGCUCAACCUGGGAACGGCAUCCGGAACUGGCAAGCUAGAGUGCAGGAGAGGAAGGUGGAAUUCCCGGUGUAGCGGUGAAAUGCGUAGAGAUCGGGAGGAACACCAGUGGCGAAGGCGGCUUUCUGGACUGACACUGACGCUGAGGUGCGAAAGCGUGGGUAGCAAACAGGAUUAGAUACCCCAGUAGUC
RNAcentral lists this ribosomal RNA (465 nucleotides) under Vreelandella stevensii. RNAcentral's name for it is "partial 16S ribosomal RNA". It matches the Rfam family "Bacterial small subunit ribosomal RNA", at positions 338 to 795 of the family's 1533-position model. The record is from RNAcentral. Lineage: Bacteria; Pseudomonadati; Pseudomonadota; Gammaproteobacteria; Oceanospirillales; Halomonadaceae.